Long non-coding RNA from Coccinella septempunctata (seven-spotted ladybird), 473 nucleotides. RefSeq lists it as uncharacterized. The record is from RefSeq and is a predicted model, not a curated record. The transcript has 2 exons. Lineage: Eukaryota; Metazoa; Arthropoda; Insecta; Coleoptera; Coccinellidae.
AAAAAAUUGCAUUUCAAAGACAAUUUUUUUUUUUGGUUCGGAGAGGGGUGGUGUAGCAUUACAAAAUUAUAAUCAGGUAUUGAAAGAAUGAAUUUGAUGAAUUAAUUCCUCCAGCAUUGUGUUUAGUAUAUUCUACCAUCUGUACAAGGAAACGCAAAUCAUUUGUAAUCCAUAAACUGGUAUUAUAGUUUCCUAUGUGUGAUUUAAUAUUGGGGAGAUGUUUGUUUGGAGAUGGCAUGUGUAUUCGAGAUUGCAUAAAAAACUUAUCGCGAAGCGUACGGAUUUCUUGAAGAAUUCAGUCAGAUGUUAUAUGAAGACUAACGUCCACGAUCAUAAUCUCGAAAGAGGAUUUGUUUCCGAAUAAAAACUAGUGAUCUUACUGAUUAGUCACAUAUCGAUUAAAAAUUAGAUUUCGUGCUUUAAGAACCCUUUUUAAAAGGGUUCUUUCACUGGGUGUAAUUUUGUUCAUCCAA